AUUCCAUGAUGAGGACAGUCUUUGAUGUAAUUCUAAAAUCUUUCCCAUGCUUCAGUGAAUGAUUCAACAUGUUGUUGUUGGAAACUUGAAAUCUUCCCACAUAGAGC
This 107-nucleotide small nucleolar RNA is filed under the name Sorghum bicolor (sorghum). RNAcentral describes it as "Plant small nucleolar RNA R71". It matches the Rfam family "Plant small nucleolar RNA R71". Rfam says of the family: R71 is a member of the C/D box family of snoRNAs containing the C (UGAUGA) and D (CUGA) box motifs. Multiple nearly identical copies of this snoRNA have been identified in Arabidopsis, and it is thought to function as a 2'-O-ribose methylation guide for 18S ribosomal RNA. The record is from Rfam by way of RNAcentral. Lineage: Eukaryota; Viridiplantae; Streptophyta; Magnoliopsida; Poales; Poaceae.